AUUUAGAGGAAGGAGAAGUCGUAACAAGGUUUCCGUAGGUGAACCUGCGGAAGGAUCAUUGUCGAAACCUGCCCAGCAGAACGACCCGCGAACCAGUGACUCGAACGCGCGGCGGGGGCCCUGCGCCCUCGUCCGCACGGCCGGGAGACGGCCUCGUGCCCCCCUCGGCCACUAACAACGAACCCCGGCGCGGCACGCGCCAAGGCAUACAUAACGAGAGAUGGCGACCCCGCCGCCCCGGGAACGGUGAGCGCGCGGGGCGCUCUGUCUUGAGAUACGAACCAAAACGACUCUCGGCAACGGAUAUCUUGGCUCUCGCAUCGAUGAAGAACGUAGCGAAAUGCGAUACUUGGUGUGAAUUGCAGAAUCCCGUGAACCAUCGAGUCUUUGAACGCAAGUUGCGCCCGAAGCCUUCGGGCCGAGGGCACGCCUGCCUGGGUGUCACGCACCGUCGCCCCCCCAGACCACGCAGUGGUGCCGCGCGGGGGCGGAUAAUGGUCUCCCGUGGGCCUCGACCGCGGUUGGCCCAAACGCGAGUCCCCGGCGACGAGCGCCGCGGCAUUCGGUGGUUGAGAGACCCUGCUAUACCGCCGUGCGCGCCCCGUCCCACUGUGGGAUCUCCCGGACCCCUAGCUACACCGACGCGACCCCAGGUCAGGCGGGAUUACCCGCUGAGUUUAA
This 681-nucleotide unclassified non-coding RNA is filed under the name Cleistanthus sumatranus. Its description in RNAcentral is "partial contains small subunit ribosomal RNA, internal transcribed spacer 1, 5.8S ribosomal RNA, internal transcribed spacer 2, and large subunit ribosomal RNA". The stretch from base 289 to 444 matches the Rfam family "5.8S ribosomal RNA". Lineage: Eukaryota; Viridiplantae; Streptophyta; Magnoliopsida; Malpighiales; Phyllanthaceae. The record is from RNAcentral.